This is a non-coding RNA of Mus musculus (house mouse), 109 nucleotides long. Lineage: Eukaryota; Metazoa; Chordata; Mammalia; Rodentia; Muridae. The record is from Rfam.
UUGGCAGCACAUAGAGUAAAAAAAAAAAAAAAAUAGAGUGAUACAGAGAAGAUUAGCACAGUCACUGCACGAGGAUGACACGAAAAUCUGUGAAGUGUUCUAUGUUUUU